GAUGAGCGCUGGCGGCGUGCUUAACACAUGCAAGUCGAACGAAGCAUUUGCGACAGAUUUUUUCGGAAUGAAGUUGCUUAUGACUGAGUGGCGGACGGGUGAGUAACGCGUGGGUAACCUGCCUUGUACUGGGGGAUAGCAGCUGGAAACGGCUGGUAAUACCGCAUAAGCGCACAAUGUUGCAUGACAUGGUGUGAAAAACUCCGGUGGUAUAAGAUGGACCCGCGUCUGAUUAGCUAGUUGGUGAGAUAACAGCCCACCAAGGCGACGAUCAGUAGCCGACCUGAGAGGGUGACCGGCCACAUUGGGACUGAGACACGGCCCAGACUCCUACGGGAGGCAGCAGUGGGGAAUAUUGCACAAUGGAGGAAACUCUGAUGCAGCGACGCCGCGUGAGUGAAGAAGUAAUUCGUUAUGUAAAGCUCUAUCAGCAGGGAAGAUAGUGACGGUACCUGACUAAGAAGCUCCGGCUAAAUACGUG
RNAcentral lists this ribosomal RNA (481 nucleotides) under uncultured bacterium. RNAcentral describes it as "partial 16S ribosomal RNA". It matches the Rfam family "Bacterial small subunit ribosomal RNA", at positions 28 to 507 of the family's 1533-position model. The record is from RNAcentral.